This 25-nucleotide non-coding RNA is filed under the name Mus musculus (house mouse). Lineage: Eukaryota; Metazoa; Chordata; Mammalia; Rodentia; Muridae. The record is from RNAcentral.
UCAGAAAUGCAGAAGGUCAGGGAAG